CCUACGGGAGGCAGCAGUGGGGAAUCUUGCGCAAUGGGCGGAAGCCUGACGCAGCGACGCCGCGUGCGGGAAGGAGGCCUUCGGGUCGUAAACCGCUUUCAGCAGGGACGAGGCCGCGAGGUGACGGUACCUGCAGAAGAAGCCCCGGCUAACUACGUGCCAGCAGCCGCGGUAAUACGUAGGGGGCAAGCGUUAUCCGGAUUCAUUGGGCGUAAAGCGCGCGUAGGCGGCCUGUUAGGUCGGGAGUCAAAUCCGGGGGCUCAACCCCCGCCCGCUCCCGAUACCGGCGGGCUUGAGUCUGGCAGGGGAAGGCGGAAUUCCAAGUGUAGCGGUGGAAUGCGCAGAUAUUUGGAAGAACACCGGUGGCGAAGGCGGCCUUCUGGGCCACGACUGACGCUGAGGCGCGAAAGCUAGGGGAGCGAACAGGAUUAGAUACCCGGGUAGUC
RNAcentral lists this ribosomal RNA (446 nucleotides) under uncultured Coriobacteriaceae bacterium. RNAcentral's name for it is "bacterial SSU rRNA". It matches the Rfam family "Bacterial small subunit ribosomal RNA", at positions 338 to 795 of the family's 1533-position model. The record is from RNAcentral. Lineage: Bacteria; Bacillati; Actinomycetota; Coriobacteriia; Coriobacteriales; Coriobacteriaceae.